ACGGAAUGUGUUUGCCAGAACAAUGCGGGAGUUGCAGAGAGAGGUGUCCUGUGUUUGUUCCCAGUCUUCCUUCACUCACCUGCACCUGCUCCUGCCCUGCUUCGGCCAACAUGUUCUAUGCAGAGUCUUAGAGGCAAGAUUAGAAUGUUCAUCUAAAAGGAGUGCAAAUUUCUUCAACCAUUCCCACGGAGGAAGGUCUACUCUGUGAAAAGGAAAUGAUCAUACAUAAUUCAUGCAUUUGCUGUACGGAUUUAAUUAAAUGAUAGACAAAAAGUAGAGUGGCACAAGUCAAACUCAAAAAAUAGUAACAACAAAAUCAAUUUCAAAAUAAGCAACAGCAAUAAAUGUUACCUACUAUUUUACGAAUGAAAAUACUGAGACCAAUAAAGGCAUUAUAGUAUACAUAGCCUUGGAAUCAGAAGACCAAGAACAUACAAGAGAACAUAGCCUUGGAAUCAGAAGACCAAGAAACAAUUUAACUCUGCCCCUCUAGAGCUCUGAGAACUUGGGCAAGCCUUUUACCCUCUUGAAUUUUUGCCACCUUCAAUGAGAAAGACUGAAACAAAAAACUCAGAAGAAAGAAAGAGACUGAGAUAGCAAAUAUGACAAACUGUUAAAAAUUCAUGAAUCUGUUAUGGAAUACUAUGCAGCCAUAAAAAAGGAUGAGUUCCUGUCCUUUGCAAGGACGUGUAUGAAGCUGGAAACCAUCAUUCUGAGCAAACUAAAACAGGAACAGAAAACCAAACACCACAUGUUCUCACUCAUAAGUGGGAGUUGAACAAUGAGAACACAUGGACACGGCGGGGUGGUGGGAACAUCACACACCGGGGCCUGUCAGAGGGGAGGGGGCUAGGGGAGAGAUAGCAUUAGGAGAAAUACCUAAUGUAGAUGAUGGGUUGAUGGGUGCAGCAAACCACCAUGGCAUGUGUAUACCUAUGUAACAAACCUGCAUGUUCUGCACAUGUAUCCCAGAACUUAAAGUAUAAUAAUAAAAAGAGAGAUUAAAAAAAUUGGUGAAUCUGGGCAAAAUGUACACAGGAUUUUUCUGUACUGUUCUUGCAACUUUUCUACAGAUUUGAAAUGUUACAAAAUAAAAGGUAUUUUUAGAAAAAGA
Molecule: long non-coding RNA, 1114 nt
Filed under: Homo sapiens (human)
Lineage: Eukaryota; Metazoa; Chordata; Mammalia; Primates; Hominidae
Description: JUN divergent transcript
Source: RNAcentral